Molecule: ribosomal RNA, 406 nt
Filed under: uncultured bacterium
Lineage: Bacteria
Description: partial 16S ribosomal RNA
Rfam family: Bacterial small subunit ribosomal RNA
Source: RNAcentral
GAUGAACGCUGACAGAAUGCUUAACACAUCAGCAAUUGAUUGGUGGCGGACGGGUGAGUAACGCGUAAAGAACUUGCCUCACAGCUCGGGACAACAUUUAGAAAUGAAUGCUAAUACCUGAUUCUGUGAGAGAGCUUUGCGUCCCAUUAGCUAGUUGGAGAGGUAAUAGCGCACCAAGGCGAUGAUGGGUAGCCGGCCUGAGAGGGUGAACGGCCCAAAGGGGACUGAGACACGGCCAUUACUCCUACGGGAGGCAGCAGUGGGGAAUAUUGGACAAUGGACCGAAGUCUGAUCCAGCAAUUCGGUGUGCAAGAUGAAGUUUUCGGAAUGUAAAGUGCUUUCAGUUGGGAAGCGGUACCAACAGAAGAAGUGACGGCUAAAUACGUGCCAGCAGCCGCGGUAAUUC